UCCCUGAUGGCUCAGACAGUAAAGCACCUGCCUGCGAUGUGCGAGACCCAGGUUCAAUCCCUGGGUGGGGAA
This 72-nucleotide transfer RNA is filed under the name Capra hircus (goat). It matches the Rfam family "tRNA". Rfam says of the family: Transfer RNA (tRNA) molecules are approximately 80 nucleotides in length. Their secondary structure includes four short double-helical elements and three loops (D, anti-codon, and T loops). RNAcentral also lists the same sequence under 1 other name. The record is from Rfam by way of RNAcentral. Lineage: Eukaryota; Metazoa; Chordata; Mammalia; Artiodactyla; Bovidae.